CACACGCCCAUGUGUGUAGGACCCCAAAUGAUCACCAUUAAAUUUGGUACAGAUCUCCAAAAAAGUUAUCACAUGGUGUGAGACUUGACUUUUUUAGAGAUUUGUGACAAAUUUAAUAGUGAUCAUUUGGGGUCUUACACACAUGGGUGUGGG
This 153-nucleotide microRNA precursor is filed under the name Amborella trichopoda. Its description in RNAcentral is "MIR8565 microRNA precursor family". It matches the Rfam family "MIR8565 microRNA precursor family". The record is from Rfam by way of RNAcentral. Lineage: Eukaryota; Viridiplantae; Streptophyta; Magnoliopsida; Amborellales; Amborellaceae.